RNAcentral lists this ribosomal RNA (681 nucleotides) under Triticum aestivum (bread wheat). Its description in RNAcentral is "partial small subunit ribosomal RNA". The record is from RNAcentral. Lineage: Eukaryota; Viridiplantae; Streptophyta; Magnoliopsida; Poales; Poaceae.
AUGUCCGCACACAACUCAGGCCAUGGAGUAGAUGCUGGUGGUGGAUGCAAUGGCUCGGAAGGGGAAGAAGCUGCCAGUGUGCACGCGGGUCUCGGACGUGCUCAUGGUGCACAUGAUGUCGUGCUUAAACGCGUGCGUGCGACGCUACUUGCUGGUCCUGUCGUCGGGCGUGUCCGUGGAGGUGAGGACAAUGCCGCCGGGGACGCCAGUGACGCUCGACGUGGUCGUCGACGCUUGGGCUUGGCUGGUCGCAGCAGAAUGCGCCCGGCUCUGACGAAGUGGCAAGGCGGCCGUGCCGAAGUUGUUCCAUCUUUGGUAAAUGGCAGCGGCAAUGAUGCAACCAGCCCUGCCGGCAACGUUAACCAAGGUGAUUGUACCGAAGGUGUUCCAUCUCUGGUAGAUGGCAGCGGCAAUGAUGCAACCAUCCCCGCCGGCAACGUUAACCCAUGCAUCCGUGUGGAGUUGAACAAAGGUGUUGUUCCGGAGAGUGACCCUGGACCUGGAGUACAAGCUGAAGUAGCUGACACCGGCAGCAACAAUGGCCCAAAUGCUAAUAGAAAAAAUAAGAGAAGAUGGUACCCAGACAAUCAAAAGCAAGAAAUUUAUGCCAUGAUAUUAGAGCGGACAAAUCAAGGCGUACUAAACCAAGGGGUGGUUGAGGAGGUGGCAGAGCUUUGUUAA